GAGUUUGAUCCUGGCUCAGAUUGAACGCUGGCGGCAGGCCUAACACAUGCAAGUCGAGCGGUAGAGAGAAGCUUGCUUCUCUUGAGAGCGGCGGACGGGUGAGUAAUGCCUAGGAAUCUGCCUGGUAGUGGGGGAUAACGCUCGGAAACGGACGCUAAUACCGCAUACGUCCUACGGGAGAAAGCAGGGGACCUUCGGGCCUUGCGCUAUCAGAUGAGCCUAGGUCGGAUUAGCUAGUUGGUGAGGUAAUGGCUCACCAAGGCGACGAUCCGUAACUGGUCUGAGAGGAUGAUCAGUCACACUGGAACUGAGACACGGUCCAGACUCCUACGGGAGGCAGCAGUGGGGAAUAUUGGACAAUGGGCGAAAGCCUGAUCCAGCCAUGCCGCGUGUGUGAAGAAGGUCUUCGGAUUGUAAAGCACUUUAAGUUGGGAGGAAGGGCAGUAAAUUAAUACUUUGCUGUUUUGACGUUACCGACAGAAUAAGCACCGGCUAACUCUGUGCCAGCAG
This 510-nucleotide ribosomal RNA is filed under the name uncultured bacterium. RNAcentral's name for it is "bacterial SSU rRNA". It matches the Rfam family "Bacterial small subunit ribosomal RNA", at positions 9 to 514 of the family's 1533-position model. The record is from RNAcentral.